This 21-nucleotide unclassified non-coding RNA is filed under the name Leishmania major. RNAcentral describes it as "gRNA". Lineage: Eukaryota; Euglenozoa; Kinetoplastea; Trypanosomatida; Trypanosomatidae. The record is from RNAcentral.
UUAUAUAGGUAUAUAGUCUAU